CACGCCCUAAACUAUGUCAACUGGUUGUUGGGAAUUCACUUUCUCAGUAACGAAGCUAACGCGUGAAGUUGACCGCCUGGGGAGUACGGCCGCAAGGUUAAAACUCAAAGGAAUUGACGG
Molecule: ribosomal RNA, 120 nt
Filed under: uncultured bacterium
Lineage: Bacteria
Description: partial 16S ribosomal RNA
Rfam family: Bacterial small subunit ribosomal RNA
Source: RNAcentral